AGUGAACGCUGGCGGUAGGCCUAACACAUGCAAGUCGAACGGCAGCACAGUAAGAGCUUGCUCUUACGGGUGGCGAGUGGCGGACGGGUGAGGAAUACAUCGGAAUCUACUUUUUCGUGGGGGAUAACGUAGGGAAACUUACGCUAAUACCGCAUACGACCUACGGGUGAAAGCAGGGGAUCUUCGGACCUUGCGCGAUUGAAUGAGCCGAUGUCGGAUUAGCUAGUUGGCGGGGUAAAGGCCCACCAAGGCGACGAUCCGCAGCUGGUCUGAGAGGAUGAUCAGCCACACUGGAACUGAGUCACGGUCCAGACUCCUACGGGAGGCAGCAGUGGGGAAUAUUGGACAAUGGGCGCAAGCCUGAUCCAGCCAUACCGCGUGGGUGAAGAAGGCCUUCGGGUUGUAAAGCCCUUUUGUUGGGAAAGAAAAGCAGCAGGUUAAUACCCCGCUGUUCUGACGGUACCCAAAGAAUAAGCACCGGCUAACUUCGUG
Molecule: ribosomal RNA, 492 nt
Filed under: uncultured bacterium
Lineage: Bacteria
Description: partial 16S ribosomal RNA
Rfam family: Bacterial small subunit ribosomal RNA
Source: RNAcentral